CCCAGAAGCGUUUGCGUAAUAGUUGCUCGUAUAAUUUGCCUAACACUGGGAGGAGGCUGAUCGGUAAAUGAAGACUUUUUCUAAUCACAGCAACAGUCACAGCGAAGCUAGAUCUCACUAGUAAGUAGCAUACCUACACUCGCAAUUACAAUUAACUCAUUUUCAUACACAGUCUCUAAGCUUUGUAUGUAUUGAAAUAUUUUUUUUACUUUCGAUGUAGUAAUGAAGUCGACACUACAUAAGUUCGCAACAGAUUUCGCAAAACACAAUAGAAGUCCAGUUGAUUAUAAAUCAGCGGCGCAAUCGAGUCUAGGCUCUGGUCAAGCGUGACCAGGGCGUAGAGCCGUCCGCGAUAAAUUAUACAAGUGAACGCGAGGGCACAACCGUGUUCAACUUUACGACGGCAUAAAUCACGGCUUAACGUCACUCCUACCACCCUAACCGACUCCCCGUGCGAUUCUGUAAGCGUUGUUUAACAAACUCGCACGUGAAUUUGGUGUGAGUUUUCAAAUUGGCAUUCUGUAAAUUUCAUUGUAGUGCCGAAUCUACACUAGCGCCCCUCGCGGGUGAAUUGAACUAGCAAGCGUGAGUUUUUUUUACAAAAAUGUAUGAGUUGACGUUUGAAACGGCAUUCUGUAGUGUAAAUCACGUCGAAUUUCGGCAAGAACUUCGCAUCGCAAAAUCAUUUUAUUUGUCAAAUCAAAAGUUAGUGUUUUAAGUGUUUGUUGUGAGUGAGAAUAUACGAAAACGUUAUAAACCGCUGUUAAUUAUUAAAAAAAUACUAUUAAUUAACAAAAUUGCACUUUAAAAUAACUUUAUUCUUCAUCGAUACUUUGUGGAGCGUAUGUUUUUAUUGAAAACAUUGUUGAGAGAAGCUGACGCUAUGGAUCAGCGUGAAAUGCGUCGACAAGCCUAUGAAAUUCACAAUUUAUCACUUUUAACUUGAGAUGACGACCAUGUAAAAGUAUAAAGAAAGUGUAUAGAUUGUCGAAGGAUCAUAUGAACCAGUUAGGGUGUGAAUUACACCCUUUGAUGAAGACCACUAAAAGCCAUUGAAAAGGACUUUCAACUCUUCUAAAGUUUCAGUUAUUGUGCACCUUGUUAUUUUUGGCCAAUUGAAGUUACCAAAAAAACCAUAAAAGAAAAUAUAAGAACAUAUUUGUUCCAGACAUCCCAGUGUAUAUCUGAGGUUGUGGAGGCUCUGAACAACCCAGCAACUAUAUAUAAAUAUUUAAGAUUCCCACAGAAUGCUCAAGAAUGGCAAAAGUUGAAGGAAAAUCAAAGAAAAAAGAAGAAGGUGGUUUAAGCUAAAUAGGAACAGAUGGCGGUGCACUAUAAAAAACAAACCGUUUCAAGGCCAUGACCACGACCCUCAGUAAUGAGGAAACUGAUGCAAAGAGGAGGAGGAGAGGUUUAAGCUAAAUAAAAAAAUGUUUUCUUCAUAAAAAAUUACCAAAUUUUUUUUUUUUUUUUUUUUUAUUGCCCUUGUAGGCAGACGAGCAUAUGGCCCACCUGAUGGUGAGUGGUUACCGUCGCCCAUGGACUUCAGCAAUGUCAGGGGCAGAGCCAAGCCGCUGCCUACCGUUUAAUACUCUCCACAAGCCUCGUUUGAAGAAGGACAUGUCAUAGCGCUCGGGAAACACCGUGGAGGGGAGCUCAUUCCAUAGCCGGAUGGUACGUGGCAAAAAAGACCUCUGGAAACGCACUGUGGAUGACCGCAGUGGCUCCAGGUAGUAUGGAUGAACUCUACUCCGGUGGCGGGCGGUGCGAUGGUAAAAACGAGAUGCCGGUAUCAUCUCGAACAAUUCAACAAUAUUAAUGUAAUGCUAAAUAUUGCAAAGAAUAUCAUGCAAGAAAUGUACAAUUUGUAAAGCUAUUAAUAUUUUUCGAAAUUCUGAUAUGUAAUCCAUAAACGAAAUGUGUAUUAAGAACCUAUGUAUUCAGAUUGUAUUCAUUUCAGUUAAAUUGUAAUUGUGUAUAUUGCUAUAAGUUAUUGUGAAAUAUAGUAUUUAUCUUAAAUAAACUUUAUUCAGUUAUAAUCAAAACAAAAUAAAAUCUACUAGAUUAGUCAAUGACAGCAAGUUAUGACCAUUAUAUUUAUUUAACAUCUUUUCGGGCUUUCUGUAUAUUGUCAACGUUCCAACCUUAUGACACCUUUUGCUAUUAUUUUUUUUCAUUGCUUAGAUCGGUGGACGAGCUCCCAGCCCACGUGGAGUUAAAUGGUUACUGGAGCCCAUAGACAUCUACAACGUAAAUGCGCCACCCACCUUGAGAUAUAAAUUCUAAGGUCUCAGUAUAGUUGCAACAGCUGCCCCACCCUUCAAACCAAAACGCAUUACUGCUUCACGGCAGAAAUAGACGAUAACGCUAUGCUAUGCUAGCAAUACCUGCUAAUAAUAGCUAGCUAUUGCUAAUAUGGAGGAAGAUACUCCUGAAGCUUUGUAGCACCGCCUUCAUUCCACUGCCCGUAACUCAGUGUAAAGAACAAUAGGUAUGUUAAAGAGUAGAUUCAGGUGUUUGCUGAUCUAUAGGGUGCCAAUUUACCACCCUGAUAAGAUAGCAAAAAUAGUUGUUGCGUGUUGUGUUUUGCACAACAUUUGCAAUUGUGCAGAGCUGCCAGUUCCCAUGAUUUCAGAUGAUGAGAUUACAUGUACAUUAUGGUGGUCAUGUUGAAUUACUUUGUUAAAUUUUACUAAUUAGCUAACUUAUAGUGUGAAGUAACUUCAAAUAUAAAUUAAUGAUUUAUAAAAA
Long non-coding RNA from Bombyx mori (domestic silkworm), 2751 nucleotides. RefSeq lists it as uncharacterized. The record is from RefSeq and is a predicted model, not a curated record. The transcript has 2 exons. NCBI's taxonomy places the organism in Eukaryota, Metazoa, Arthropoda, Insecta, Lepidoptera, Bombycidae.